UUUGAUAAUAGAAGGAACAAAAUAACAUGCAUCUAAUGCAAUAAAAGCUCCACUAGGCAGAUGUAGGGAGACCUCGCCAACAGCUAAUACAGCAACUUUUGCUCCAUUACCCAUCUUGAGGUCCAUCUCGCCUCUCUCUAGUCUCCUAGGCCUUGCUAGAACCUGCAACGAAUUGCAUAUAUGAUAAGCACUACCGGUAUCCAAUACUCAUGUGUUAUCAUAAGAGUCUGACAAAUGGAGACUAAUCAUGAAUGUACCUGAAGCUUCAUCAAGCUUUUGUUUCGCCCUUUCUGCAAGGUACUCUUUGCAGUUCCUCUUCCAGUGCCCAUCUUUACCACAGUGGAAGCAUUGGCCUUUGUCCUUUACUGGGUCUUUCUUAGCAACUUUUGCUUUACCUGGUCU
This 402-nucleotide long non-coding RNA is filed under the name Musa acuminata (dwarf banana). Its description in RNAcentral is "long non-coding RNA (MACU_LNC006956)". Lineage: Eukaryota; Viridiplantae; Streptophyta; Magnoliopsida; Zingiberales; Musaceae. The record is from RNAcentral.